GACCCGUAAUCCGGGUUGCGGACAGUGUCUGGUGGGUAGUUUGACUGGGGCGGUCUCCUCCUAAAGAGUAACGGAGGAGCACGAAGGUUGGCUAAUCCUGGUCGGACAUCAGGAGGUUAGUGCAAUGGCAUAAGCCAGCUUGACUGCGAGCGUGACGGCGCGAGCAGGUGCGAAAGCAGGUCAUAGUGAUCCGGUGGUUCUGAAUGGAAGGGCCAUCGCUCAACGGAUAAAAGGUACUCCGGGGAUAACAGGCUGAUACCGCCCAAGAGUUCAUAUCGACGGCGGUGUUUGGCACCUCGAUGUCGGCUCAUCACAUCCUGGGGCUGAAGUAGGUCCCAAGGGUAUGGCUGUUCGCCAUUUAAAGUGGUACGCGAGCUGGGUUUAGAACGUCGUGAGACAGUUCGGUCCCUA
Molecule: ribosomal RNA, 411 nt
Filed under: Escherichia coli
Lineage: Bacteria; Pseudomonadati; Pseudomonadota; Gammaproteobacteria; Enterobacterales; Enterobacteriaceae
Description: partial 23S ribosomal RNA
Rfam family: Bacterial large subunit ribosomal RNA
Source: RNAcentral